CCUUCGGAGUGCCAAACAAGUCGGAGUAGGUAGCAAUAAGCCCAAACGAGGCACGUUGAACAAGGAA
RNAcentral lists this non-coding RNA (67 nucleotides) under unclassified sequences. RNAcentral's name for it is "RAGATH-18 RNA". It matches the Rfam family "RAGATH-18 RNA". From Rfam's summary of the family: Actinobacteria, Firmicutes, Fusobacteria, Thermotogae (1 example). The record is from Rfam by way of RNAcentral.